UACGGAGGGUCCAAGCGUUAUCCGGAAUCAUUGGGUUUAAAGGGUCCGUAGGCGGUUUUGUAAGUCAGUGGUGAAAGCCCAUCGCUCAACGGUGGAACGGCCAUUGAUACUGCAAGACUUGAAUUAUUAGGAAGUAACUAGAAUAUGUAAUGUAGCGGUGAAAUGCUUAGAGAUUACAUGGAAUACCAAUUGCGAAGGCAGGUUACUACUAAUGGAUUGACGCUGAUGGACGAAAGCGUGGGGAGCGAACAGG
RNAcentral lists this ribosomal RNA (253 nucleotides) under uncultured bacterium. RNAcentral's name for it is "partial 16S ribosomal RNA". It matches the Rfam family "Bacterial small subunit ribosomal RNA", at positions 524 to 776 of the family's 1533-position model. The record is from RNAcentral.